RNAcentral lists this ribosomal RNA (465 nucleotides) under Vreelandella stevensii. RNAcentral describes it as "partial 16S ribosomal RNA". It matches the Rfam family "Bacterial small subunit ribosomal RNA", at positions 338 to 795 of the family's 1533-position model. Lineage: Bacteria; Pseudomonadati; Pseudomonadota; Gammaproteobacteria; Oceanospirillales; Halomonadaceae. The record is from RNAcentral.
CCUACGGGGGGCAGCAGUGGGGAAUAUUGGACAAUGGGGGCAACCCUGAUCCAGCCAUGCCGCGUGUGUGAAGAAGGCCCUCGGGUUGUAAAGCACUUUCAGUGAGGAAGAACGCCUGGUGGUUAAUACCCAUCAGGAAAGACAUCACUCACAGAAGAAGCACCGGCUAACUCCGUGCCAGCAGCCGCGGUAAUACGGAGGGUGCGAGCGUUAAUCGGAAUUACUGGGCGUAAAGCGCGCGUAGGUGGCUUGAUAAGCCGGUUGUGAAAGCCCCGGGCUCAACCUGGGAACGGCAUCCGGAACUGUCAAGCUAGAGUGCAGGAGAGGAAGGUAGAAUUCCCAGUGUAGCGGUGAAAUGCGUAGAGAUCGGGAGGAAUACCAGUGGCGAAGGCGGCCUUCUGGACUGAAACUGACACUGAGGUGCGAAAGCGUGGGUAGCAAACAGGAUUAGAUACCCUGGUAGUC